Molecule: long non-coding RNA, 550 nt
Organism: Coturnix japonica (Japanese quail)
Lineage: Eukaryota; Metazoa; Chordata; Aves; Galliformes; Phasianidae
Source: RefSeq, a predicted model, not a curated record
CUUGUGUGCUUUUGCAAAGCUAGACAAGUUUAUGGGAUUUCAUGUCUGGGGAAACUUAUUGAGAAGUGCAUAGAAAACUGGUAAUCACAGACCGAACCUGUGAUGAAGCACCCGAGGCAAUUGUCCGGUCAGCUGUGUGGGAACGUGGGUGGAGGCAAUUCAGCUCGACUCCACCUGUCCUAGAUUUCAUUUAAGGGCUGACCACCACUAAGGCAGCAUCUCUUUUGGAGAUGGCUCCUUCGUGGUGUUUGUGUGACGAGCUUCAACAUUUUCCAUCUAGACCGAAGGCCUCUGAAUUGAGCAUGCAGUGCCAAAGAGCCAAUCACUUCAGGGAUCAUCCCUCUUCCUCUUCACAUUCCCCAAGAUGAAAACCUUCAGCAGCAAACGAGCGAAGCCAACGCACAGAAAGAGACUGCACAUCCACAUCUUUAUGAGGAUACAGAACCCAGCUUCUCCUCUCUCCAGCUCAUUCCUGCAGGACCAAGACCACCACCACCAAGGAGCCAUCACCACCCAGGAGCCACUCCAAGUCCCACAGAAGACCCCUUCA